GUGACAAAGUGCGAAAAGUUCAUUCAUGGUUUUUCUGCUUGGAGGAGAUUCGAAGGAUUGGGGUUGCUGCAUCCUCCACGAUUUGAAUUUCUUCUCCGUCUUCCCCUUAGCAAAGUGUUUUCAUUCCCAUCACAAGAAAAGCGAAUGUUCUCUGCUUCCCUGCAUUGGCCCAGACCAUGAGGAUUUAGCUUGCUUGAAGUCAAAACAGCAGUUGACUUGUAAUGAAGAGAUCAGCCAUUCCUCUGUCUCUGUGCUUCUAAAUGCUGAAAAUAUGGCCCCUCAAGUGUCAGCAGACUGUCAUUAUGUCUCAUUAUUCAAGAUUCAAGAUCCUGAGUAUCAUUUUCCUGCAGAAGAAUGGGAAUCAACUGACUUAUGCCUCCUCAGAGCCAGAGACUUGGGUGGACUCCAGAGUAAAAUAUUUGCAUACACACAUGGGACACAAAAGGAGAAGGCUGACUACAUAUGAGGAGACUAUGGUCUAAUGAAUUCAGAAAGAGUGGGCCUUGAGAAGAGCCGACUGAGUUGCUCACAGAGUGGAAAGACGCAACUGAGUGUGGCAAAAGAGGAGGAAUUUCCGAGCCGAGUCACAUCAAAGAAUGUUUGAGGAUGAUUUAGCACUUGGAACACUUCAAAAAGUGUGACGUGAGCUGUUCUUUUCACCCCAGCCUCAAACGUACAUCCAAUAUUCUUGGAUAAGCUUUCAUAUGCAAAGCAAAAAAAAGGAAAAGUGGCUUUCCCAUUAAAUGCAUUGUUAUUCUUUGCCUUUCAUACAUCUGGGGCCUGAAAGUACAGAAGGGAGAGAAAUGGAAUGUCAAAGAUUUGCCUGUCUUUUAUUUUAAAUUUUUUUUUCAUGGAUCCAAAGUUCUUGUUAACCCUCUGACACUCAAACGUAGGUUGUGACUGUUAAAGACUAUGGUUACAAAUGCUUGUCUUGUUCUUUCACUGAACAAAUUUGCUGAUUAUUUGACCGUGGUUUGCAAUUCUUUAAAAGAAUGAAUGAGCAUGGUAAACACUUGAAUGAAGGUAUCUGAAUAAAGUGCCCCUCAGGAUGGCUAAGACUAUAAGCUUGCAAUGGUUUGCUGAACAGACGCAUAGGAAGGAGUCCCUGCUUGUCCUUCGAAGUUCACUGGCGUGCCUCUAUCACACUGAAGACAUUUGACAGCUGAAAUGUGACAUGCAAUUAUUUCCUUUCUUCCUUUCCUUAAAAAAAAUUGUGGUUGAAAUCUAUCAUUCUAUGUCUUGACCUUGUAGAGAAUACAUUAAAUGCAUAAACCUUGAACAGAAGGUGGCGCUCCAAAUAAACCAAGCAAGAUUGUGAGACUCUGUUUAAGUUUUGUGCCUAAUUUAUUCAUACUAAGGCGAUACUAAGGAUGCUAAAUGUGUCCUUUCCAGUGCUCAGGUAUUGAAAACUUAAUCCUAA
Molecule: long non-coding RNA, 1420 nt
Filed under: Rattus norvegicus (Norway rat)
Lineage: Eukaryota; Metazoa; Chordata; Mammalia; Rodentia; Muridae
Description: long non-coding RNA NONRATT032743
Source: RNAcentral